RNAcentral lists this unclassified non-coding RNA (273 nucleotides) under Mycobacterium sp. EBP:P7:LCL. RNAcentral's name for it is "16S-23S ribosomal RNA intergenic spacer". The record is from RNAcentral. Lineage: Bacteria; Bacillati; Actinomycetota; Actinomycetes; Mycobacteriales; Mycobacteriaceae.
GGCGCCGGCCUUGNAUGCACAACAAACUUCUUUGACNGCCANACACACUAUUGNNCUUUGAGACAACAGGCCCGGNGCCCCUUUUUGGGGNGUGGNAUCCGGUUGCNGAUGUCGGCGCUGUUGUUGCCUCACUUUGGUGGUGGGGUGUGGUGUUUGAUUUGUGGAUAGUGGUUGCNAGCAUCUAGCACGCAGUGUGGCUGGGGGCCUUCGGGUUUCCGGUCUUGUUGUGUGUUGAUGUGCAAUUUCUUUUGAAACUCAUUUUUGGUUUUUGUG